This 138-nucleotide ribosomal RNA is filed under the name uncultured bacterium. Its description in RNAcentral is "partial 16S ribosomal RNA". It matches the Rfam family "Bacterial small subunit ribosomal RNA", at positions 379 to 531 of the family's 1533-position model. The record is from RNAcentral.
CAGCCUGAUCAGCCAUGCCGCGUGAGUGAUGAAGGCCCUAGGGUUGUAAAGCUCUUUCACCGGUGAAGAUAAUGACGGUAACCGGAGAAGAAGCCCCGGCUAACUUCGUGCCAGCAGCCGCGGUAAUAACCUCCUGUU